RNAcentral lists this long non-coding RNA (1781 nucleotides) under Canis lupus familiaris (dog). Its description in RNAcentral is "lncRNA (ENSCAFG00000053982.1)". The record is from RNAcentral. Lineage: Eukaryota; Metazoa; Chordata; Mammalia; Carnivora; Canidae.
GUUUAUUGAAAGCCAGCGGAAUACUCCAUUUCACCCGCUUCAGUGGGAAACGUUUCGCAGAAAAACACAAGAAGGGGUCUUCAUUCCUGGACGCCCCGUGAUGUGUCCCCUCCGGCUCUCCGGAAGCUUCUACAGCCGGGGCUUUGGCGACCUGCCCACGGAGCCCCAGGACCCGAGCCCCGCGGAAUUCUCGGGGGUCCGCGCGGCUGCCGGCGGUCAGCGGCUUUCAACGCUGGGCUCGGGCUCAGGCCUCUCCUUUUCCACGGGGGUUCACCGCAUCGUCUGCCCCGAGUCCGGCUUCCCCGCUGGCCCCGCCUGAGGACGGUCGCCGUGACGCGCUGUCUUCACCUGCUGAUUCGUCCCUUCUGGAGGCUCGUGGCCUCCCCCGGCCUGAGGCUGACGUCUGGGCUCAGGACGGUGUCCCACGGCUCCAGAGGGGAUUCCGCGCGUUGACCAACAGUCUGGACAUUCAUACUCACCUGCCCGAGUUUCUGGUGCGUCUGCAGGAAACGAGAGACUCUGUGUCUUUGCCUCGUGAGCUCCGUCUGCAGCCCUGGGGCUCUGAGAACAUGACAGGCGCCCCCGUGAGUCGCCGGCACCCGUGGUCGCUGGGGCCCCGGCCGCUGAGCCGUGGGGAUGCACAUCCACGGAUGGGGAGGGAGGCCCAGGCAGCAGGGAGCGGGCAGGGGGGCGGCGGGUGAGCGCCUGCGUCAGGCCGGUGCAGCCCGGGGAGCGCUGGCCACGGGGACUCAGACGCCCCCGGCGUGUGCUUCAUGCAGGUUCUGGCUCCGUCUCGUCCCGACUGUGUGGCCCUGGGCAGGUCACUCGACCUGAGCUCUGGGGCACUGCACACGGUCAAGCAAGGCCCCGGGCCCAGGGACGGGAUGGGACGGGGGUGACGGGGACAUCUGCAGGCCCCUCCUCCGGGCAGAAGCUUUUCUGUUUUCCAGUUUCCAACCCAGGGCUGUGGAGCGUGUGCAGGGUGUGCUGAGCGCGAUCCCCGGGCGCCCCCAGGCCUCCUGGGUCACGUGCCUUCCACCGAGCUCGGGCUGGGCCGCGGCUGCAGGGGCGCCCUCUGCUCCCCAGGGGUGGGGUCUCCGAGCUGGGCCGCCUGUGAGGUCAUCGUGGGGCGCGGGGGGCCCUUUCUUGCACCUUCUCGCUCGGACUUCUGGGUAAGUUCUGGGGAAGGAGCAGGUUUUCCGGGUGGUGCUUCUUUUUCGGGGUGUGUGGGUGAGGGGAGGCUCGGCCUGCCCGAGGUGACCCUCAGGCCUGUUGUCCGUGAGUCCUGGGGUUGGGGAGGGGACACCUGGGGACAGCUGGGAGCAGGGCGGGAGCACAGGCCCUGGCUUCCGUGCAGGGUGUGUGGCAGGCAGACCCGUGGGUCCUUGUCACGGCCCCGAGGCCCCGAGGUGCACGUGGUGACGGACUGUCCUCACUCGACUGCUCAACUCCCGGGACCUGGCUCCUGGGCUCGGAGCUUCCCUCCAAACCGUCCGGUUUCAGCGAGCGUCCUGCUGGCCCGCGAGGCAGGAGCCCGGGGCCUGGCAGCUGACCGGCCACCCCGAUGCCUCCUGCGGGGAUCCCAGGGGCCCCUGCUCCUGGCUCUCGCUCCCGCCGUGUCUGAGAGCAGCGCAGGGCGGAGGCCGCGGCAGUGCAGGCUCCUCCGUGUCAGGCGGCUGUGGGGCAGGUGUGGGCCCCGCGCUGAGCGCAGCGUGGACGUGGGCGCGGCCCUCGGGGAGGACCUUUCUCCAGCAGUGAGACCCGAGCCAGCCCCUGACUGA